Molecule: non-coding RNA, 692 nt
Organism: Nerophis lumbriciformis (worm pipefish)
Lineage: Eukaryota; Metazoa; Chordata; Actinopteri; Syngnathiformes; Syngnathidae
Source: RefSeq, a predicted model, not a curated record
UUUGUAUCAUUUAAAAUUGUGAGGUGUCAUUUCAAGGCGGACACCCAGAACUUAAUUCGGCAGACUUUAUUUUUAAAAGUAUAUUUAUUCCAAUAAAUCAAUUUAUUUUUAUUUUUAGAGUUUUUGAGUUAUCUAUAAGUAAAAAGUGUGAAUAUUUUCGUAACUUACUUUUUUAUGUGAUAAAAUUAAUUUUAUUGGACUUCCAACAUAAAUUGAUUUAGCAAAACUCAGUUCAAAGGUUUAAAUCAGACCUAAAACGUCAGGACCCGCCCACGUACCUGCAUGCAGCUGUGGAAGAACAAGCCCAGACACGUUUCUUCACGGAGCCCAAUAGGAAAACACUUUACCGAACUCAUGUUUAGGGUCUUCUAGGCGCGAUGCGAGACGUCACAAGCGGGCUAACGUUGAGCCAAACAGCAGCUUCGAGGCACGGGCGGAAAUGAGAAGGAGUUUGGCCCCCAGUCAGGUCGCCAAACGGAAGCAAGGGGAGGAUGAUCAUCGAGACGAAAUAUAGUAUAUUAACCACGCGGUUCUCGAGAGAAGAUGAAUGGAGAAAAUUGGGACAGUGAUGAAGAAGUCCAAGUUCCAUGGCCACUCAACAAAGCAGGAGGAAGGAAGCAGUCACAAACCAAAUACGUGGCAAGAAUUCUGAGAUUUGGUGAAGACACACGUGAACUGACGCCAUAUUUGAA